AGCUCCAAUAGCGUAUAUUAAAUUUGUUGCAGUUAAAAAGCUCGUAGUUGAAACGACAUGCCGGGACUUGCUGCUCCUAUCAGAGCGCAGUGCUGGCUCGGGCCUUCAACGGCCUCGGUUACUUUGAGAAAAAUUGAGUGUUUCAGGCGGGCAAGAGCUGAAAUAGUGUACCAUGGAAUGACAAAGUGGUUGUCCCUCUCUUACUUCGGUUCUGGACGGGACGAUACGUGGUUGAUAGGAACAGUCGGGGGCAUUCGUAUUGAACAGUCAGAGGUGAAAUUCUUAGAUUUGUUCAAGACGAACUAGUGCGAAAGCAUCUGCCAAGGAUGUUUUCA
Molecule: ribosomal RNA, 335 nt
Filed under: uncultured eukaryote
Lineage: Eukaryota
Description: SSU rRNA
Rfam family: Eukaryotic small subunit ribosomal RNA
Source: RNAcentral